UAGGGAAUCUUCCGCAAUGGACGCAAGUCUGACGGAGCAACGCCGCGUGAGUGAAGAGGGAUUUCGGUUCGUAAAACUCUGUUGUUAGAGAAGAACAGCGCAUAGAGUAACUGUUAUGCGUGUGACGGUAUCUAACCAGAAAGCCACGGCUAACUACGUGCCAGCAGCCGCGGUAAUACGUAGGUGGCAAGCGUUGUCCGGAUUUAUUGGGCGUAAAGCGAGCGCAGGCGGUCAAUUAAGUCUGAUGUGAAAGCCCCCGGCUCAACCGGGGAGGGUCAUUGGAAACUGGUUGACUUGAGGGCAGAAGAGGAGAGUGGAAUUCCAUGUGUAGCGGUGAAAUGCGUAGAUAUAUGGAGGAACACCAGUGGCGAAGGCGACUCUCUGGUCUGUAACUGACGCUGAGGUUCGAAAGCGUGGGUAGCAAACAGG
This 429-nucleotide ribosomal RNA is filed under the name Bacteroidota bacterium. Its description in RNAcentral is "Bacteroidetes bacterium partial 16S ribosomal RNA". It matches the Rfam family "Bacterial small subunit ribosomal RNA", at positions 355 to 776 of the family's 1533-position model. Lineage: Bacteria; Pseudomonadati; Bacteroidota. The record is from RNAcentral.